AAGUUGUUCACUUCAUAGUCAAAGGCUCGAAGCUUCACCAAUGGAGGCCGACACUUUUGAUCCUGAUUUAAUUCAUGCGAUCUUUAAGCAAAUAUGGACCAGAAGAUUUCUAGAGCGUGAAAGGAACGGUGGUAAUGAUGCUACGGACUGCGAGGUAGGAGCUGGGACAUCCAAGAAAAAUCGGCCCACUUCUGCUAAUGCAAAUGCGGUGAAGCUGAGUUGUGAACUUCUCCGAGUAUUUGUUACAGAGGCUGUGCAACGUGCUGCUGCAAUUGCCGAAGCGGAGGGUGUCAUUAAGGUUGAAGCCACUCAUUUGGAGAGGAUUCUUCCUCAGUUACUGCUGGAUUUUUGAGCUACAAUGUGGAUAAAUAAGCAGGCUAGAAGAAACUUGUUUGGGAGUUUACAAGUCUCUACCAUCCUGAACACUCUUUGCGAGACUGUCAAAGACUUAAAGGUGUAGAAGAUUAAGCUCUAUUAUCGUCAGAAUGAACUAUUGACCUUGGGGAUUGGUUUACUGCAAAGUGCCAGUGGAUUUUGCAAUAGUUCCUUUGCGAAAUGAAAGGCUUGAUGGUGAUGCCAUAGUAGUUGGCUAGUGUGAAGUGAUUAAUUAACCACUUUGGAAUCUGUAGAAGACCCUGCUAAAUUUCGCAGUCGUCCACCCUUUGAUGAAGAAAUGAACGUAAUAUUGAAGGGAACCAAUGACUUCUAAGCAUUAAAGGAGCGUGUAUGACCCGUGUUCGGUGUUUCUGUGUGCAGCUAUUUUCUUGGUCUUUGUAGUGCUACUUCUUUGUGACAAAAUGAUGAUACCUAUUUUACCAGUACACCAAAAAUUAAUUAUUUGGAAAGUCGGUGGUAUAGUUUAUUUAAUAAAACUUAUGAAAGUAGAAUUUGUAGU
Molecule: RNA transcript, 895 nt
Organism: Pistacia vera
Lineage: Eukaryota; Viridiplantae; Streptophyta; Magnoliopsida; Sapindales; Anacardiaceae
Gene name: protein MHF2 homolog
Exons: 8
Source: RefSeq, a predicted model, not a curated record